RNA transcript from Cercocebus atys (sooty mangabey), 2614 nucleotides. It is a transcript of the gene named 5-hydroxytryptamine receptor 7 pseudogene, with no coding region annotated. The transcript has a single exon. Lineage: Eukaryota; Metazoa; Chordata; Mammalia; Primates; Cercopithecidae. The record is from RefSeq and is a predicted model, not a curated record.
AUGGAUGUUAACGGCAGCCACCCGGACCUCUACGGGCGCCUCCGCUCUUCCCUCCUGCCAGAGGUGGGGGGCAGGCUGCCCGACCUGAGCCCCGACGGUGGCGCCGACCAGGUCGCGGGCUCCGGUACGCCGCAUCUGCUGAGCGGGGUCCCCGAGGUGACGGCCAGCCUGGCGCCCACCUGGGACGCACCCCCGGACAAUGCCUCCGGCCGCGGGGAGCAAAUCAAGAAAGGGCCGAGAAAGUUGUGAUCGCCUCAGUCCUGACGCUCAUCUAGCUGCUGACGAUCGCAGGCAACUGCCUGGUGGUAUCUCCGUGCGCUUCGUCAAGAAGCUCCGCCAGCCUUCCAACUACCUGAUCGUGUCCAUGGCGCUGGCCAACCUUUCGGUGGUCGUGGCGGUCAUGCCCUUCAUCAGUGUCACCGACCUCAUCGGGGGCAAGUGGAUCUUUGGACACUUUUUCUGUAACGUCUUCUUCUCCAUGAAUGUCAUAUGCUGCACGGCCUGGAUCUUGACCCUGUACGUGAUCAGCAUCGACAGGUACCUUGGGAUCAGGAGGCCUCUCACGUACCCUAUGAGGCAGAAUGGGAAAUGCAUGGCGAAGAUGAUUCUUUCUGUCUGCCUUCUCUCCGCCUCUGUGACUUUACUUCCCACUCUUUGGUUGGGCUCAGAAUGUAAAUGAUGAUAAGGUGUGCUUGGUCAGUCAAGACUUUGGUUACACGAUUUACUCCACCGCAGUGGCAUCCUAAUCUUCAUGUCCGUCAUGCUUUUCAUGUACUACCAGAUUUACAAGGCCUUCAGGAAAAGCGCGGCCUAACACAGGUUCCCCGGCUUCCCUCGAGUGAAGCCAGACAGCAGCAGUCACCCCGAAUGGCACAGUGAAGUUCCAGAAGGAGGUGGAAGGGUGUGUAAACCCGUCGAGACUCCUCAGGCAUGAAAGGGAAAAUAUCUCCAUCUUUAAGCCGGAACAGAAAGCGGCGACUACCCUGGGGAUCAUCGUCCGGGCCUUCACCGUGUGCUGGCUCCCCUUUUUCCUCCUCUUGACAGCCAGACCCUUCCUCUGUGACACUGCCUGCAGCUGCAUCCCACUGUUAACGGAGAGGAUAUUUCCAUGGCUGGGCUAUGCAAACUCUCUCUUUAACCCUUUUAUGUAUGACUUCUUCAACCAGGACCUGAGGAUCACCUAUCACAGCCGGCUCCAGUGCCAGUACCAGAAAAUCAACCGGACACUCUCUGCUGCAGGCAUGCAUGAAGCCCUGAAGCUUGCUGAGAGGCCAGAGAGACCUGAGUUUGUCCUACAAAACUCUGACUACUGUAGAAAAAAAGUCAUGAUUUGUGACUGAAAACGGGAUAAUGGAGAUGAAAUAAACAAGGCAAAAUAGAGGUGGAAACAGAAGAAAGUCAUUUGCCAAGACUGCAGAAUGGAAUGUGGCUUCUGUCCUUUCUUAGGAUGGCUAAAAUGUGACAAACAGGGUGACCUGAUGUACAAAAUAUCUUAUGAGGGAGAUGGUGACCUCUCCUUUUUUCCGUGGAUCAGUGUUAUUUUGUGUUCUCAGUUUAAGAUAGCAGAUCAUCUCAGCAGUAAGCACAUUGACAGAGUUGAGUUCCAGAAAGGAAGCAGUUUCAGGUUCUUAGCACAUGUCCAAAUCCAUGCAAGUGGAAGAAAGUUCCAAUGCACACUUCCCAUGCUUCGGAGUCUAGGUCUUGUGGUGAAUAUUCGGGAAUCAUUCAUGAGACAGAAUGUAUUUUGUUGUGUGACAGAAGGGUUUACCAAGCAAACCGUGGUAAGCAUAGUAUUGAAUAUGUUGCAUGUCCAUGUUAGAAAACAGAACCCAGUCAUCAGCUAAUACAAAUGAUUUCCCAGAGCAGUGUUUGUUUCAAGCUUCUGUCAAACAGUUUGGCUUUUCUGCAGGGUCCCUGUAACUUCCCCACUAAUGUAUUUCUUUGUUAACUCCCUUAUUGUUAUGGUGUAGCUCAGGAACAGGUCUCAGGAUGGAGAGCAGCAUACAACCAGAGCAAAGCUUUUUCUUGUGCUCUGAAGGGUCCUGAGACGUGAGGGGGAUGCCUUCCAUGAGGAUUUUUAUCUCAGUGAAGUGCGAGUGGUACCCAACUGUAUUGUCAUUAACAUGAUUAUUGGCAUGUUUUUGACUCUCAUUUUUCACAAGGGUGCAGUGGGGCCAUGGACCAUCCCACAGGAUGGUCCAUAACUGUAAGUUAUAUAGAGAAAGUGUGGGAAUAAUGGGUUGUCCAUGAAAGGUUGUGAUGCUUCUGGAGAUGGGGACAUAAACAUGUUCAUUCUUGUUGAGCAGCAUUGUAUUAAACCAAAUUGUGUGAAGCGGAAGUCACCUGAACCACUCUUGGGAAAUGCUCCAGAACACCAGUCUGUUCCUUCUAGAUACUUUGUUCUCUGUAUUUAUUUUUAUUUUUUAUUUUGAGGCAGUGUCUCACCCACCCUGUCUCCCAGGCUGGAGUGCAGUGGUGCGGACGUGUGCGCUCGGAGACUCCACUCUCUGGGGUUGAAGGUAGAUUCUCCUGCUCUGCCCCAAGUUAGGCUGGAUACAGCACUGCACACAGGCCUGGUAAUGUUUUGAUAUUUUAGUAGAGAGGAUUGUCACGC